GAUGAAGAACGCAGCGAAAUGCGAUAAGUAAUGUGAAUUGCAGAAUUCAGUGAAUCAUCGAAUCUUUGAACGCACAUUGCGCCCGCCAGUAUUCUGGCGGGCAUGCCUGUUCGAGCGUCAUUUCAACCAUCAAGCCCCCGGCUUGUGUUGGGGACCUGCGGCUGCCGCAGGCCCUGAAAAGCAGUGGCGGGCUCGCUGUCACACCGAGCGUAGUAGCAUUCAUCUCGCUCUGGGCGUGCUGCGGGUUCCGGCCGUUAAACCACCUUCAUAACCCAAGGUUGACCUCGGAUCAGGUAGGAAGACCCGCUGAACUUAAGCAUAUCAAUAAGCGGAGGA
Molecule: unclassified non-coding RNA, 336 nt
Filed under: soil metagenome
Description: partial contains 5.8S ribosomal RNA, internal transcribed spacer 2, and large subunit ribosomal RNA
Rfam family: 5.8S ribosomal RNA (bases 1-120)
Source: RNAcentral